ACUCUCUCGUCUUCCAUUCCCCACGCCGCCCGUCCACACCGUCCGGCGGCGCGUGGAUCCGGCCGGAGACGCCGUCCCUGCGGGUUGUUUCGAAGGGUACGGCCGAUGCGGCGGCGGCGUCGACCGGACGGCACCACGACUACUCGAGCUCAGCUCCCGUGCCCCGUAGUGCUUCUCCGACCCGGACCGCCGGUAACCCACAGUUGAUAAGUACACCCUUGACAUGAGGAGAUGUCCUAUUAACAUCAAGUCAGAGAUGAUCCUGUCACGCCAACAUGUCAAAGUCCUAGGUCUAGAUCUCGCUGAGGGAUGAAGCAAUGACUGUUCGUCUGCAGGUUCCAGGUGAAUGGCAGCCAAGCAAUGACUACUGGCUGCAUCAGCAGGAGGGGGAGAAGAUGGGCAUUGCCAUCGGGGUGGACAAAGGGAUCUGCCACUUGCACCACGGCUGCAAUAAGCCGAUUGCCAUCUUGCUUCAUCAGAAUUUCAAGGCCCUGAUAUAGCCAGUUUUGGCACUGCAACCAUGAAUAUGGCCGGGCUCAACCAACCGUUGCCAAUCAAGGACCUGUCUCUUGGUAACUUUGGUUAUGCUCCUCCAGGUGACGGAAAAGCUAGACGUUUACAGCUUCGGGGUGGUGCUGCUCCCUGCUGGAGCUCAUCACCGGACAGGUGGCCAAUGGACAAUUGGCAGUUGGGGCACGUGAGAAAUGCGAUGAACUGAUGGCAAACCAUCUGAAAACGUUCAAGAUUGCCGUACGUGGACAAGGGCAUCCGUGAUCAAGCGCGAUACAUGAAGUAGAUGACAGCCGUGUUCAGGCUGGGAGUGGAUUGCACCGUCAAGGAUCGGUAGAAAAGGCCGUCCAAGAAGAUGGCUCUCAAACGUCUCAACCGCUACGGUGGGCGUGCCCUAUUCCAUGGCCUCCCCACCUGCUAUCCUCUAUACAUCACCAGUGAGGAUGUAGGCAAAUCGAAUGAGAAAGUGGCAUGUGAGCUCAGCUCAGCUGAUGAACUGCCAUUGGCAGAGUUUAUGUUCAGUGGUACGUUGAAGGAUGAUCCAGGAGACCAGAUGGGGGACUUUGCUUUCUUGCUUUGUUUGGCAAGAAAAGCUUCAGGAUGCCCCAACCAAAGCCGAGGGAGGAUCUUGACCUCUACCAGUUGCAAGAGGCAGGGCGGAGGGUUGCGAACGUCCAAAUUGAAUGCAAGGAUGCGGUGGCAUGCUUGCUUCAGAACUGGAUACUAAUGCUGAAACGUGUUCUUCUGGCCUUACCAAUGACAGAUUCAGAUCAGACUGUUGAAUGAGUUGUUAACUCUUUCCAACCCGAUGUAAUGGAUGUCGUACUCGUUGGCCAGAGUGUCCAUGUUCCACCAGAUCAUGGAGAUGACGCAGGUGUUUGAAGGCAGCUUGACAGGAUCAUCAGACUGCUGUUGGAGGUCCUGCAGCAGUUGAUCCUGGCGCCCAGUCGAUCGGCGAGCCCAGCUCGAAGCGAAGCUCGAGGAGUCGGUCAGUAAGAUCACAAGGGAUACCAUUGUCUGUGGAAUCCCUGUAAUUGCAACUCCUCCUGAUGGUGUAGUGUGGUUUCGUUUGAUCAGAGGAGCUGAUGUGUGUAGAUGGAAGGCUAUCGUCAUUUGCUCCUGUUAUUGACAAGUGUUGUGCAGCAAGCUGCAUUGCCUGUGCACCAUAACACACAACAUUGUGCCAUCAUGGCAGUUAAAAUUUUGCGAGUUUAUAGCUAGGUUGUAGGAGUAGUAAGUUGUAGAAUUAAAUUGAUUGGAGUUGGUGCAGGGAUGCAAUAUGUGUUGAUUUCAUUUUGCUGUACACAUAAACUAGCUAGUACUACAAUGCUACCUGAAAUUCAUUCGGAUAUCAAUAUUUAAAUUGGACGAAUAUGUUUAUGUUGUUGCUUGCCAA
Triticum aestivum (bread wheat) is the source of this 1906-nucleotide long non-coding RNA. RefSeq lists it as uncharacterized. The record is from RefSeq and is a predicted model, not a curated record. Lineage: Eukaryota; Viridiplantae; Streptophyta; Magnoliopsida; Poales; Poaceae. The transcript is spliced from 4 exons.